RNAcentral lists this transfer RNA (77 nucleotides) under Betaproteobacteria bacterium. RNAcentral's name for it is "tRNA-Asp". It matches the Rfam family "tRNA". Rfam says of the family: Transfer RNA (tRNA) molecules are approximately 80 nucleotides in length. Their secondary structure includes four short double-helical elements and three loops (D, anti-codon, and T loops). Further hydrogen bonds mediate the characteristic L-shaped molecular structure. tRNAs have two regions of fundamental functional importance: the anti-codon, which is responsible for specific mRNA codon recognition, and the 3' end, to which the tRNAs corresponding amino acid is attached (by aminoacyl-tRNA synthetases). tRNAs cope with the degeneracy of the genetic code in two manners: having more than one tRNA (with a specific anti-codon) for a particular amino acid; and 'wobble' base-pairing, i.e. permitting non-standard base-pairing at the 3rd anti-codon position. The record is from RNAcentral. Lineage: Bacteria; Pseudomonadati; Pseudomonadota; Betaproteobacteria.
GGGGACGUAGAUCAAUUGGUUAGAUCGCUAGCUUGUCACGCUAGAGGUUGCGGGUUCGAGUCCCGUCGUCCUCGCUA